This 247-nucleotide long non-coding RNA is filed under the name Elaeis guineensis (African oil palm). RNAcentral describes it as "long non-coding RNA (EGUI_LNC072570)". Lineage: Eukaryota; Viridiplantae; Streptophyta; Magnoliopsida; Arecales; Arecaceae. The record is from RNAcentral.
CCAAUGUUGGCUUUAAGACAUAUUUCCUAACAGCUAAAGGACUUGGUUAAGCGGGCAUAUCUCUUAUAUGAAGAGCAUCCCCUUAAAAUGGACAUCCCAUUUAAAGAGUCCUAGUCUCAAGAGAGAGAUAAAAUGAGGUGAGAAAUACUAGGUGUUCUCCAUCAAGAAGAGAGAGAAAGAGGAAAGCUUGCUAUUCUUGUCCAUCAAGAAGAGAGAGAAAGGAGAAAGUUUGUUGUUCUUGUCCAUC